RNAcentral lists this long non-coding RNA (664 nucleotides) under Chinchilla lanigera (long-tailed chinchilla). RNAcentral describes it as "lncRNA (ENSCLAG00000023651.1)". Lineage: Eukaryota; Metazoa; Chordata; Mammalia; Rodentia; Chinchillidae. The record is from RNAcentral.
CUCGGCCCUGUUCGGUUCCAUGCGACGCUCGGUUCCCCUGCUCACCCCUCUGUUUCCUCGGGUGAAGGCAACCUGUUUCUCAGGCAUCAUUCAGCCAUGCUCCGCUCAGUCUGACCCAGUGGGCUCGUUCAUUAAGCUCCACUGGGCCCGCUGGGUAUACCCCCCACCCCGCACACUCACUGGGCUCCUCUCGCUCCACCAGGCUUCUUUGGAACGCACUCAUCUUCCUCAGUCUGCUAUUCAACACCAGGGAGGCAGAACAGAAGCUGGGUGCCUCGUCUGCAAGCUGGAGACACUGACUUGGCUACUUGCAAUGAAAACACGACGUGGAGAGGUCCUGGAAUAGGAAAACCUGACAGCCAAGUUCAAUAAAGGGAGAGCUGCUCUGCUUCUGGUGCCAAAAUCCCCGUUCACGGCCCUCCCAGGACACUGCUGGUGUGUGAGUGCACUCCAGGCCUUUCUGCUGUCCGUGUCACUGCUCGGAUUCUAAAUCUCCAGAAACAGGCUUUGAUUAGCUGGGCCUAGGUGACAGGAAGUUCUUCCCAUGGAACUAGGUUAUGAAGGAUGAGUAAAAGUUUGCUAAAAAGAGAAAGGAAGGACAUUCCAGUAGAUGCGACAGUACUGACACUGCCAGAAAGGAAUUUGGAGCCACCUCAGAAUUGCC